Molecule: transfer RNA, 69 nt
Filed under: Dipodomys ordii (Ord's kangaroo rat)
Lineage: Eukaryota; Metazoa; Chordata; Mammalia; Rodentia; Heteromyidae
Rfam family: tRNA
About the family: Transfer RNA (tRNA) molecules are approximately 80 nucleotides in length.
Source: Rfam by way of RNAcentral
GGGAAUGUGGCUCAGUGUAGAGUGCUUGCCUAGAAUGCAUGAAGCUACAGGUUCAAUUCUUCAGUACCA